CAUCCAAGUCAAUGGUACUCCAAUGGCCUUCUUCCACUCCACAUCAGGCUUCGCUAAGGUUAUCCUCUUUUCCCUUAUCUUUUUAUUCUUUGUGUUGACAUCUUUUCUUAUUCUCUCCAUGCUACAUCUUGGAGCGAGGGGCUUAAUGCAUACACACCUACUCCGGGGACCCAAUUGCUAUCCCACUUGCCCUUUACAAAUGAUUGCUUCUUGCUAGGCUAGGUGAUGGUA
RNAcentral lists this long non-coding RNA (231 nucleotides) under Elaeis guineensis (African oil palm). Its description in RNAcentral is "long non-coding RNA (EGUI_LNC036696)". The record is from RNAcentral. Lineage: Eukaryota; Viridiplantae; Streptophyta; Magnoliopsida; Arecales; Arecaceae.